CGCGGGAUGGUUGGACGAGUAGGAUCGCGAAUUCGGUCAGGUUCGGAAGAAAGCAGCCGUAGUGAACACCAAGCGGGUCGACCGUCUCUCUUUU
This 94-nucleotide signal recognition particle RNA is filed under the name Holosporaceae bacterium. Its description in RNAcentral is "signal recognition particle sRNA small type". It matches the Rfam family "Bacterial small signal recognition particle RNA". Rfam says of the family: The signal recognition particle (SRP) is a universally conserved ribonucleoprotein involved in the co-translational targeting of proteins to membranes. Archaeal SRP consists of a 7S RNA and homologues of the eukaryotic SRP19 and SRP54 proteins. The record is from RNAcentral. Lineage: Bacteria; Pseudomonadati; Pseudomonadota; Alphaproteobacteria; Holosporales; Holosporaceae.